UACGUAUGGUGCAAGCGUUAUCCGGAUUUACUGGGUGUAAAGGGAGCGCAGGCGACACGGCAAGCCUGAUGUGAAAGCCCGCGGCCCAACCGCGGGACUGCAUUGGGAACUACCGGGCUGGAGUGCCGGAGAGGUAGGCGGAAUUCCUAGUGUAGCGGUGAAAUGCGUAGAUAUUAGGAGGAACACCAGUGGCGAAGGCGGCCUACUGGACGGUGACUGACGCUGAGGCUCGAAAGCGUGGGGAGCAAACAGG
This 253-nucleotide ribosomal RNA is filed under the name uncultured bacterium. RNAcentral's name for it is "partial 16S ribosomal RNA". It matches the Rfam family "Bacterial small subunit ribosomal RNA", at positions 524 to 776 of the family's 1533-position model. The record is from RNAcentral.